Vitis riparia (riverbank grape) is the source of this 2757-nucleotide long non-coding RNA. RefSeq lists it as uncharacterized. The transcript has 10 exons. NCBI's taxonomy places the organism in Eukaryota, Viridiplantae, Streptophyta, Magnoliopsida, Vitales, Vitaceae. The record is from RefSeq and is a predicted model, not a curated record.
UGCAAAAAGGAAUUUUCUCUCUUUUGAAUUCAGAUGUCAUUGAUGUAAAUUCAAUGUAAAAAAGGGAUGAUGGUGGGGCUUGGGCAUCUCUAUCAGUGGAUGCAAUUUUUUAUCAUCUUUGAGAGCUUGAAUAAAUAUUGCAGAGAGCGUUUUUGUCAAAUAAGGAGUUGGUGCCUCCACUAUUAGGGCUUCAAAAUGUUAACAUUCUGGAAAUCCUUACAAUCAUCAAUUUCUCUAGUUUUGCAACUUAAUCAAACUAGAAGACAGUCUGGCAUCUCUUAAUGAGCUUGAAAAUGCUGUUGGCCUUGAAUUGCAAUCACUGCCAGAAGGGAUGUGUCACUCAACACUUCAAUUUUCCCAAAAUUGAUAUUGACUAGCAAUGGUACCUGAUUCAUAUAGGAUUUUUGUUCUUUAAUUGAAGCAUGUCAUUGACAAUAUAUUUCAGAUGUAAUUGUUGUCAAUUGAAUGUACAAGGGAUAAAGGUGGAGCUUGGACAUCUCUACGAGGGGAUUCAAUAUUUCAUCACCUUUUAUACCUUGAAUAAAUGUUGCAGUGAGCUUCUUUUGUUAGAUAAUGAAGAUGAAGCUUGAGUUGGUGUCUCCGGUAUUGGGGCCUGGAAAUGUUACCAACACAACCACCUCCUUCAUUUCCUUAUCUUUCACAAUUAGAUAUCGAGUAUUGUAAGGAGUUAGCGUCCUUGGAACUGCAUUCAUCUCCUCUUCUUUCUAGUUUAAAGAUCUCGCAAUGCCCUGAGCUCACAGUCUUUUUUCUAUUUUAGACAUCCUUGCAAGUGUCUUUGUUACCUUGUCUUAAGAAAUUGCUACUGUCUACAGUGAGAGAAGAGGUAUUGUGGCAGUUAAUACUUGUUAUUGAUUCUCCAUUGGAGUCUUUGUCCAUAUAGAAGAUAUGUGAUUUUGAUAUUUCUUCUAGAUGAGCUGCGUCGACAUGUUUCAACUCUUCAACGUCUCUCAAUUUACAACUAUUGUGGUUUGACAGCAUUACCACAUUGGAUUGGCAGUCUCACCUCAGUUGCACACCUUAAUAUAUAAAAUUAUGAGCACCUUGCAGAAAGAUGUCGAAGGGAACUGGCCCAAGAUUGAUUAUAUCCUAUAAAUUAACAUGUACCUGCAUUAGUGAAGAGUGAACUUAUACAGAAUGUCAUUUCAGGUUUCACCUUCCUUAAGAAGCUUUAUGAUUGGCUUAAUGCCUAAAGGGAUGCUAAAAGGGGAUAAGUCUUGGGUUGCCCUAAAGAUUUCACAUCGCCCAUAAAAACAUAUCUACUAGAUGACUAGUGCAGAAAGGACUUUUGCUCUGUUUUCAAUUCAGGUCUGCUAGUGGGCAUGUAUAUUUCUGGCAACUUCUUUUGUCAGAUAAUGGGGAUGAGGUUCACAUGCAAAUUGCAAGGACUCAGAAGCUUGAGUUGGUGCCUCCAUCAUUGAUGCCUCAAAAUGUUACCAUUCUGGAAAUUCUUAAAAUACUGUUCUUGUUUAGCAACUUUAUCAGAUUGGAUAAGCAUCCAAAGAUCUCUUAAUGAGCUACAGAAUGUUGUCUGCCCUGAAUUUGAAUCACUGUGCUCCUCAGUUUUUCAAUGUUUCCAGAAUUGAUACUGACCGAUUUCACCUUGUGUAAGAAACUCAUGGUUAUUCAUUGGCCCAAAGGUUUCUUAUAUGCCAUUGCAAAUAAGGAUGAUGAGGAGGAUGGGCUGAAUAUUGCCCAUGCCUUGGAAAAAAGCUAUUGAGGGUUGGUGCAAAGGCUUAUAGCACCUAUGGAGCUUUGAAUUUAUUCUUGCCCUUAUAUCACUGCCAGAAGAGAUUCAUUCCCGUAGCGCCCUACAAAGACUAAUACAGAAAGCUACUUCAGAUUGCACCUUACUUAAGAAGCUUGUGAUUAGUCCUUGGCCCAACGUGAAAUCACUCCCUACAGUAGCCUGUUUGAGCUUGAAAGCACUUCAAGAAGUGUUUUGAAAGGCGCUCUUAGAGGCGCGCUCUAGGGCGAGGCAUCCAGAAAACGCCUUAAGGCGUUGGCACAACAACGUUGAACACAAAAGGAAAUGCCUUUGACGCCUUGCUCACUAAAGCGUGAGCCUUUGGUUUGCUGAGGUGGCUAAUAAAAAAAAAAUAGAAACAACUUACCGUUGAAGACUUUAUAACCCCGCAAACACAUUGAAGACUGAAGAGGGAACAAAGGGAACAAGUUGGGGAAGAAAUGUAACCCUAACCCUAGCUCUUGGUGGUUCGUACCUUCGAUAACUUGAAGAUCAGCUUCUUCUUCGGCAACCUGAAGAUCAGCUUUUUCUUUGACAACCUGAAGAUUGACUUUUUCUUCGGCAACUCGUCUUUCUCACUCCGACGACUUCAUCUCGAUUCUCAAUAGGUAGGUAUUUUCUCUCUGUUGCUCACCCUCUCUUAGUCUCACACAGUCCCAACCUUCUCAUCUCCUCUUCUCUUUCUCUUUGUUUUUCACUCUUUUUGUCCAACUUCUCAUAGUUUCAACGACACUAUUUUUUCUUCUCUGGUUCUUAACCUUUAUUUUUUUUUUCCUCACAACCAUCUCAAAUAAAUCCCUACAACAGCCUUUCUUGACCCUGCAACAACCUUUGUUGACCCUGCAACAACCUUUAUUGCACCCUGAAACAACCUUAAUUGCACCCAGCAACAGCCUUUAUUGCACCUGGCAACAACAUUUAUGCAUGCACAAUGCAAUAAAGUUAAAUGAUGCUGCACCAUUUUUAAAACAAUGCACAACACUAAAAUUUUA